Molecule: ribosomal RNA, 1525 nt
Filed under: Escherichia coli
Lineage: Bacteria; Pseudomonadati; Pseudomonadota; Gammaproteobacteria; Enterobacterales; Enterobacteriaceae
Description: partial 23S ribosomal RNA
Rfam family: Bacterial large subunit ribosomal RNA
Source: RNAcentral
GGUUAAGCGACUAAGCGUACACGGUGGAUGCCCUGGCAGUCAGAGGCGAUGAAGGACGUGCUAAUCUGCGAUAAGCGUCGGUGAGGUGAUAUGAACCGUUAUAACCGGCGAUUUCCGAAUGGGGAAACCCAGUGUGUUUCGACACACUAUCAUUAACUGAAUCCAUAGGUUAAUGAGGCGAACCGGGGGAACUGAAACAUCUAAGUACCCCGAGGAAAAGAAAUCAACCGAGAUUCCCCCAGUAGCGGCGAGCGAACGGGGAGGAGCCCAGAGCCUGAAUCAGUGUGUGUGUUAGUGGAAGCGUCUGGAAAGGCGCGCGAUACAGGGUGACAGCCCCGUACACAAAAAUGCACAUAUUGUGAGCUCGAUGAGUAGGGCGGGACACGUGGUAUCCUGUCUGAAUAUGGGGGGACCAUCCUCCAAGGCUAAAUACUCCUGACUGACCGAUAGUGAACCAGUACCGUGAGGGAAAGGCGAAAAGAACCCCGGCGAGGGGAGUGAAAAAGAACCUGAAACCGUGUACGUACAAGCAGUGGGAGCCUCUUAAUGGGGUGACUGCGUACCUUUUGUAUAAUGGGUCAGCGACUUAUAUUCUGUAGCAAGGUUAACCGAAUAGGGGAGCCGAAGGGAAACCGAGUCUUAACUGGGCGUUAAGUUGCAGGGUAUAGACCCGAAACCCGGUGAUCUAGCCAUGGGCAGGUUGAAGGUUGGGUAACACUAACUGGAGGACCGAACCGACUAAUGUUGAAAAAUUAGCGGAUGACUUGUGGCUGGGGGUGAAAGGCCAAUCAAACCGGGAGAUAGCUGGUUCUCCCCGAAAGCUAUUUAGGUAGCGCCUCGUGAAUUCAUCUCCGGGGGUAGAGCACUGUUUCGGCAAGGGGGUCAUCCCGACUUACCAACCCGAUGCAAACUGCGAAUACCGGAGAAUGUUAUCACGGGAGACACACGGCGGGUGCUAACGUCCGUCGUGAAGAGGGAAACAACCCAGACCGCCAGCUAAGGUCCCAAAGUCAUGGUUAAGUGGGAAACGAUGUGGGAAGGCCCAGACAGCCAGGAUGUUGGCUUAGAAGCAGCCAUCAUUUAAAGAAAGCGUAAUAGCUCACUGGUCGAGUCGGCCUGCGCGGAAGAUGUAACGGGGCUAAACCAUGCACCGAAGCUGCGGCAGCGACGCUUAUGCGUUGUUGGGUAGGGGAGCGUUCUGUAAGCCUGUGAAGGUGUGCUGUGAGGCAUGCUGGAGGUAUCAGAAGUGCGAAUGCUGACAUAAGUAACGAUAAAGCGGGUGAAAAGCCCGCUCGCCGGAAGACCAAGGGUUCCUGUCCAACGUUAAUCGGGGCAGGGUGAGUCGACCCCUAAGGCGAGGCCGAAAGGCGUAGUCGAUGGGAAACAGGUUAAUAUUCCUGUACUUGGUGUUACUGCGAAGGGGGGACGGAGAAGGCUAUGUUGGCCGGGCGACGGUUGUCCCGGUUUAAGCGUGUAGGCUGGUUUUCCAGGCAAAUCCGGAAAACCAAGGCUGAGGCGUGAUGAC